UGAGGAAUAUUGGUCAAUGGGCGGGAGCCUGAACCAGCCAAGUCGCGUGAGGGAAGACGGUCUUACGGAUUGUAAACCUCUUUUGCCGGGGAGCAAAGGGCGCCACGCGUGGCGUUUCGAGAGUACCCGGAGAAAAGCAUCGGCUAACUCCGUGCCAGCAGCCGCGGUAAUACGGAGGAUGCGGGCGUUAUCCGGAUUUAUUGGGUUUAAAGGGUGCGUAGGCGGGCCGGUAAGUCAGCGGUAAAAUAGCGGGGCUCAACCCCGUCGAGCCGUUGAAACUGCCGGUCUUGAGUGGGCGAGAAGUGCGCGGAAUGCGUGGUGUAGCGGUGAAAUGCAUAGAUAUCACGCAGAACCCCGAUUGCGAAGGCAGCGCACCGGCGCCCGACUGACGCUGAAGCACGAAAGGCGUGGGGAAUCGAACAGGAUUAGAUACC
RNAcentral lists this ribosomal RNA (434 nucleotides) under uncultured bacterium. Its description in RNAcentral is "bacterial SSU rRNA". It matches the Rfam family "Bacterial small subunit ribosomal RNA", at positions 355 to 786 of the family's 1533-position model. The record is from RNAcentral.